Passer domesticus (house sparrow) is the source of this 357-nucleotide long non-coding RNA. RefSeq lists it as uncharacterized. Lineage: Eukaryota; Metazoa; Chordata; Aves; Passeriformes; Passeridae. The transcript is spliced from 3 exons. The record is from RefSeq and is a predicted model, not a curated record.
ACUACCCCAGCAAUGCAAAUGGUGACCAGGAAGGUUGAUCAGAGGGCUACCUGAAUUUGGUUAAAUUAAAUACCAGGUUAUCUUCCAGAUAUUCUGUUUAAAACAUUUGUUUUUCAAGAAAGUUUAGUGUCUGGGAUAUUAAGUUUGAAAUGGGUACAGAGACUUUCCAUGUAGAAGCAACUGGCAGAGUGAAAGGAGUCAAGGAGUUCACCUAUCCCAGCUUACAAGGCCAGGCAUGAGCUGGAAGAACCCCUGAAUUUGUAUGGUGUGAAACUCCCUUUCAGGUUUCAUAAGCAAGACGAACACAUUUGACUGAAAUACAGUGGGAAUAACAGGUUGGGCCGCUUUUCUUACCUG